This 1042-nucleotide long non-coding RNA is filed under the name Ursus maritimus (polar bear). Its description in RNAcentral is "lncRNA (ENSUMAG00000003468.1)". The record is from RNAcentral. Lineage: Eukaryota; Metazoa; Chordata; Mammalia; Carnivora; Ursidae.
UUUGCACUGUCUGAUUUGAGCCAGUUCUCCUCCCCACCCCUCACAGUGGCAUUUUCAGGAUUCUACCGCUUGGUGGCUGUCCCCAGAAGACACUUCCCUGGGUCCUGGCAGUUAAGCAAGGCUUGUCGGGCUCCAGGGAAAGGGGUGCUGCUUUUGGCAUCCUCCUCAAGCCCAGGAGCUGACAGCAAAGGUCUUGUUCAUUCUGCUCUGCUGGAGUGAAGACUGUUGCCAAACCAGAGCGCUCGUUUUUAUUGUUUUUCUAGAACAACAGGACUGUUAUUACAAGUGUUCUGGAAGAGAGGACAGGGAAGCCAAAAACAGAUUCCACAGCAUCUUAAAAAUAGCCAGUAGCAUGUGAAUUGCUCGACUAGCAAGGCCAGGCUCUUGAUGGGUCUGACACAUCUGUGAACCACUGUUUGGCUACUGCCCGACCAUGUCGCAGCCUCCUCCGGAGAGAAAAGCCAGUACCCCUGGCUGCUCCCAGCACUGUCACCCCAAACUCGAAGCAGUGAGACCAGCACCCAGAAGGGGCAGACAGGGAGAAAAUCAGAGGGGGUGAUGGGAAAGGAGAGGCCGCGUGAUCCGCAGGAGACCUCGGAGGCAUUCGGAGACCCAGAGACGGCCACGUGUCCUGGUCCCUGGCUGUGCCCUCAUCACCAGCGAGCCACCCCAACCAGCAGACCAGCAGACGGUGGCACAAACGGCUUUGGUGGCAUUCACAUCGCGUGCGCCGGUCCUCUGAGGAGCCUCUCUCCCAGACUGAGGCUGUACCAGCAUCUUCCACCCCCUGGAAAGAUCCCAGUCCAUCUUGAGUUUGCAAAACCUGGCCGGAUGGCGGAGGAGAGUUACCUGAAUGCGUGCGGAGCCUACACCAUCCUGACAACAUGCAUCUCUAAGUCUCUCUCUCCUCCAGAUAAGAUGUGAGCACCAGCCGCUUGUAAAGCAAACUUUGGUUGCCAUGGUAACUGGGCCCUCAGCCUCUUCCCGGCUUGAACAGAGCCAGCAACACCUCCCAGGUCUUAUCUCUAAAACCCAGCCCUCC